CUAGCGGCGGACGGGUGAGUAAUGCUUAGGAAUCUGCCUAUUAGUGGGGGACAACAUUUCGAAAGGGAUGCUAAUACCGCAUACGUCCUACGGGAGAAAGCAGGGGAUCUUCGGACCUUGCGCUAAUAGAUGAGCCUAAGUCGGAUUAGCUAGUUGGUGGGGUAAAGGCCUACCAAGGCGACGAUCUGUAGCGGGUCUGAGAGGAUGAUCCGCCACACUGGGACUGAGACACGGCCCAGACUCCUACGGGAGGCAGCAGUGGGGAAUAUUGGACAAUGGGGGGAACCCUGAUCCAGCCAUGCCGCGUGUGUGAAGAAGGCCUUUUGGUUGUAAAGCACUUUAAGCGAGGAGGAGGCUACUUUGGUUAAUACCUAGAGAUAGUGGACGUUACUCGCAGAAUAAGCACCGGCUAACUCUGUGCCAGCAGCCGCGGUAAUACAGAGGGUGCGAGCGUUAAUCGGAUUUACUGGGCGUAAAGCGUGCGUAGGCGGCUUUUUAAGUCGGAUGUGAAAUCCCCGAGCUUAACUUGGGAAUUGCAUUCGAUACUGGGAAGCUAGAGUAUGGGAGAGGAUGGUAGAAUUCCAGGUGUAGCGGUGAAAUGCGUAGAGAUCUGGAGGAAUACCGAUGGCGAAGGCAGCCAUCUGGCCUAAUACUGACGCUGAGGCACGAAAGCAUGGGGAGCAAACAGGAUUAGAUACCCUGGUAGUCCAUGCCGUAAACGAUGUCUACUAGCCGUUGGGGCCUUUGAGGCUUUAGUGGCGCAGCUAACGCGAUAAGUAGACCGCCUGGGGAGUACGGUCGCAAGACUAAAACUCAAAUGAAUUGACGGGGGCCCGCACAAGCGGUGGAGCAUGUGGUUUAAUUCGAUGCAACGCGAAGAACCUUACCUGGUCUUGACAUAGUAAGAACUUUCCAGAGAUGGAUUGGUGCCUUCGGGAACUUACAUACAGGUGCUGCAUGGCUGUCGUCAGCUCGUGUCGUGAGAUGUUGGGUUAAGUCCCGCAACGAGCGCAACCCUUUUCCUUAUUUGCCAUCGGGUUAAGCCGGGAACUUUAAGGAUACUGCCAGUGACAAACUGGAGGAAGGCGGGGACGACGUCAAGUCAUCAUGGCCCUUACGACCAGGGCUACACACGUGCUACAAUGGUCGGUACAAAGGGUUGCUACUCCGCGAGGAGAUGCUAAUCUCAAAAAGCCGAUCGUAGUCCGGAUUGGAGUCUGCAACUCGACUCCAUGAAGUCGGAAUCGCUAG
Molecule: ribosomal RNA, 1251 nt
Filed under: Acinetobacter sp. E-10
Lineage: Bacteria; Pseudomonadati; Pseudomonadota; Gammaproteobacteria; Moraxellales; Moraxellaceae
Description: bacterial SSU rRNA
Rfam family: Bacterial small subunit ribosomal RNA
Source: RNAcentral